AUGAAUUUCGCUCUACACCCUUUGUGACAUACCUACAACUGUUGCUUCGGCGGGUAGGGUCUCCGUGACCCUCCCGGCCUCCCGCCCCCGGGCGGGUCGGCGCCCGCCGGAGGAUAACCAAACUCUGAUUUAACGACGUUUCUUCUGAGUGGUACAAGCAAAUAAUCAAAACUUUUAACAACGGAUCUCUUGGUUCUGGCAUCGAUGAAGAACGCAACGAAAUGCGAUAAGUAAUGUGAAUUGCAGAAUUCAGUGAAUCAUCGAAUCUUUGAACGCACAUUGCGCCCGCCAGCAUUCUGGCGGGCAUGCCUGUUCGAGCGUCAUUUCAACCCUCAAGCUCUGCUUGGUGUUGGGGCCCUACAGCUGAUGUAGGCCCUCAAAGGUAGUGGCGGACCCUCCCGGACCCUCCUUUGCGUAGUAACUUUACGUCUCGCACUGGGAUCCGGAGGGACUCUUGCCGUAAAACCCCCAAUUUUCCACAGGUUGACCUCGGAUCAGGUAGGAAUACCCGCUGAACUUAAGCAUAUCAAUAAGCGGAGGAAGAGGAA
RNAcentral lists this ribosomal RNA (548 nucleotides) under Colletotrichum gloeosporioides. Its description in RNAcentral is "eukaryotic LSU rRNA". The stretch from base 170 to 323 matches the Rfam family "5.8S ribosomal RNA". The record is from RNAcentral. Lineage: Eukaryota; Fungi; Ascomycota; Sordariomycetes; Glomerellales; Glomerellaceae.